AUUAAAUUGUUCGAAAUGAAAUGUACAAAACAUUGAAAGCAAGAAAAAAAAGCAUAACAAUUACAUAAAAAGGAAUGAAGACGUGGGUGGUGGUGGAGGGCUGACAAAACAAAUGAAAUGAAUGCAAAAUAGGAUUUAAGUGCAAGGCCAUGUUAAUGGAAAAUUCCUGUAACUAAAUGUGGAAGCGAAUUGGCCAAUUGUACGUUCUGUUUGUACUCUCUCUCUCUCUCUGUGCAUGAGUGUCAUUUAGCCAUUAAGCGUUUAAUAGCAGAAAUUUAUAAUUAACAAAAAUGCCACACACACAAAAAGUUAUAAUGGACAGAGAUUUAUCCAUCGAGUGGCAGUUGAACAUUUUACACUAAACACUUUUGAAACCUCAUUGUUUUUUAUGCCAUUAUUACAACCAUACCAUAACAUAUUACAUUUAAAGAGUAGCACAAGAAAUAACUGAAGUAACUCGUAAUUAAGAUGAAACCUAUAUGAAUACUUGGAUAAUAUUUUGUAGAUAUAUAUAUGUGGGUGGAUGUUUGAGCAAAGCAUUAUGCGAGCAGAGAGAGACACACAAAAUCCUAAUUGAAAUUUUCGAAUACUCUCAAAGCUCGAUGGCAAAUGAAAC
Molecule: long non-coding RNA, 616 nt
Filed under: Drosophila guanche
Lineage: Eukaryota; Metazoa; Arthropoda; Insecta; Diptera; Drosophilidae
Source: RNAcentral